UAUGAAGGGGGCUAGCGUUGCUCGGAAUCACUGGGCGUAAAGGGUGCGUAGGCGGGUUUUAAGUCAGAGGUGAAAUCCUGGAGCUCAACUCCAGAACUGCCUUUGAUACUGAAGAUCUUGAGUUCGGGAGAGGUGAGUGGAACUGCGAGUGUAGAGGUGAAAUUCGUAGAUAUUCGCAAGAACACCAGUGGCGAAGGCGGCUCACUGGCCCGAUACUGACGCUGAGGCACGAAAGCGUGGGGAGCAAACAGG
This 252-nucleotide ribosomal RNA is filed under the name uncultured bacterium. RNAcentral describes it as "partial 16S ribosomal RNA". It matches the Rfam family "Bacterial small subunit ribosomal RNA", at positions 524 to 776 of the family's 1533-position model. The record is from RNAcentral.